This 305-nucleotide ribosomal RNA is filed under the name uncultured bacterium. Its description in RNAcentral is "partial 16S ribosomal RNA". It matches the Rfam family "Bacterial small subunit ribosomal RNA", at positions 508 to 809 of the family's 1533-position model. The record is from RNAcentral.
ACAGCAGUCGCCGCGGUAAUACGAAGGGUGCAAGCGUUAAUCGGAAUUACUGGGCGUAAAGCGUGCGUAGGCGGUGAGUUAAGUCUGCUGUGAAAUCCCCGGGCUCAACCUGGGAAUGGCAGUGGAUACUGGCUCGCUAGAGUGUGUCAGAGGAUGGUGGAAUUCCCGGUGUAGCGGUGAAAUGCGUAGAGAUCGGGAGGAACAUCAGUGGCGAAGGCGGCCAUCUGGGACAACACUGAUGCUGAGGCACGAAAGCGUGGGGAGCAAACAGGAUUAGAUACCCGGGUAGUCCCUGUCUCUUAUAA